AUGGUCUGUGACCCUCCAAUCAGUGCCUUGCGGCUGCGGCGGCAACACCAAUCCGGAUCCAGGAAAAUAUGUAAACAGGAAGAGGCCACCGGACCACUCACCACAGGAGCUGAUGCACAUUCUUCAGCUGAACUUUACACCGUUGUCCCACCAUCCACUGAAUUGAACACCAUUCAGACUCAUGGCUUUAUCAGCAGUGACAUGCGUGUGGUGUGUAGAGACUCCAACGGUUGUGUCAGUGUUCUCUCGUUGACGGCGCCGGGGCUAGAGACCACGGCCCAGUGGAAGGCUCUGAGGCCUGGAUCACAGCCAUCUCCUUCUAGGACACCCAGCUGUUCUACUCAGCAAGCUGAAAGGCUGGGACCCCAGGAUGGAGCUCUCCUCUCCCACUUUCACCAGCAAGAGAAGAUGCUGCUGCUACUGCUGCUGCCUCAGCACUACACUUCCAGACGGUCUGUCCAAAGGCUGCAUCCCACAUGGCCGGUGGAACUACGUGCUCUUUAGCACAGGGGUCCAGGACCUCCUUGUCCCCGUCUGGGAGGGUCCUGAACCCCACAGCCUGGACCCCCUUGGGGGAGGGGGGAAUUAAUUUGGCCUUUUCAAAUUGAAAUAAUAAAUGGAAAGGCAUGGCUUGGACAAUCUCUCCAAAGGCUAAUGCCUCCUUUGGGGUCAUUUAAUAACUGGAGGAGAGACCCUAGCUGCUCCUUCUGGCCCGCAUAUGCAUGGCGCUUAUAGGGAGGCCAACCUCUAGCUGUGAGGUUGGCCUCCCGGGAGAUACCAUGGCCCGGGUCUCUGCCUCCAGGUGGGGGCGGGGACUUGUACAGGGUCAGUGAUGCAUGUUUCUGUUGUAUGUUGUUUCAUGUUUUGUUGGUUUUAAUAAAUCCAGUUUUCUGACUAAACUGAAGUGUUUAUUGAUGUGUUGAUAUGAAUCGUAAAUGGUAUAUCCUCUGGAUUCAUUGCAUGUUUGUGGCUAUAAUAUCAACCCUGUAAUGCAAAGACAGGCUUCAAACAUGCUUUCAG
Molecule: long non-coding RNA, 1020 nt
Filed under: Gadus morhua (Atlantic cod)
Lineage: Eukaryota; Metazoa; Chordata; Actinopteri; Gadiformes; Gadidae
Description: lncRNA (ENSGMOG00000036857.1)
Source: RNAcentral